This 900-nucleotide ribosomal RNA is filed under the name Klebsiella pneumoniae. Its description in RNAcentral is "bacterial SSU rRNA". It matches the Rfam family "Bacterial small subunit ribosomal RNA", at positions 632 to 1532 of the family's 1533-position model. Lineage: Bacteria; Pseudomonadati; Pseudomonadota; Gammaproteobacteria; Enterobacterales; Enterobacteriaceae. RNAcentral also lists the same sequence under 1 other name. The record is from RNAcentral.
ACUGGCAGGCUAGAGUCUUGUAGAGGGGGGUAGAAUUCCAGGUGUAGCGGUGAAAUGCGUAGAGAUCUGGAGGAAUACCGGUGGCGAAGGCGGCCCCCUGGACAAAGACUGACGCUCAGGUGCGAAAGCGUGGGGAGCAAACAGGAUUAGAUACCCUGGUAGUCCACGCCGUAAACGAUGUCGAUUUGGAGGUUGUGCCCUUGAGGCGUGGCUUCCGGAGCUAACGCGUUAAAUCGACCGCCUGGGGAGUACGGCCGCAAGGUUAAAACUCAAAUGAAUUGACGGGGGCCCGCACAAGCGGUGGAGCAUGUGGUUUAAUUCGAUGCAACGCGAAGAACCUUACCUGGUCUUGACAUCCACAGAACUUUCCAGAGAUGGAUUGGUGCCUUCGGGAACUGUGAGACAGGUGCUGCAUGGCUGUCGUCAGCUCGUGUUGUGAAAUGUUGGGUUAAGUCCCGCAACGAGCGCAACCCUUAUCCUUUGUUGCCAGCGGUCCGGCCGGGAACUCAAAGGAGACUGCCAGUGAUAAACUGGAGGAAGGUGGGGAUGACGUCAAGUCAUCAUGGCCCUUACGACCAGGGCUACACACGUGCUACAAUGGCAUAUACAAAGAGAAGCGACCUCGCGAGAGCAAGCGGACCUCAUAAAGUAUGUCGUAGUCCGGAUUGGAGUCUGCAACUCGACUCCAUGAAGUCGGAAUCGCUAGUAAUCGUAGAUCAGAAUGCUACGGUGAAUACGUUCCCGGGCCUUGUACACACCGCCCGUCACACCAUGGGAGUGGGUUGCAAAAGAAGUAGGUAGCUUAACCUUCGGGAGGGCGCUUACCACUUUGUGAUUCAUGACUGGGGUGAAGUCGUAACAAGGUAACCGUAGGGGAACCUGCGGUUGGAUCACCUCCUU